This 910-nucleotide ribosomal RNA is filed under the name uncultured bacterium. RNAcentral's name for it is "bacterial SSU rRNA". It matches the Rfam family "Bacterial small subunit ribosomal RNA", at positions 33 to 911 of the family's 1533-position model. The record is from RNAcentral.
ACGCUGGCGGCGUGCCUAAUACAUGCAAGUCGAGCGAGCUGAAUUCAAAGAUCCCUUCGGGGUGAUUUGUUGGACGCUAGCGGCGGAUGGGUGAGUAACACGUGGGCAAUCUGCCCUAAAGACUGGGAUACCACUUGGAAACAGGUGCUAAUACCGGAUAACAACAUGAAUCGCAUGAUUCAAGUUUGAAAGGCGGCGUAAGCUGUCACUUUAGGAUGAGCCCGCGGCGCAUUAGCUAGUUGGUGGGGUAAAGGCCUACCAAGGCAAUGAUGCGUAGCCGAGUUGAGAGACUGAUCGGCCACAUUGGGACUGAGACACGGCCCAAACUCCUACGGGAGGCAGCAGUAGGGAAUCUUCCACAAUGGACGCAAGUCUGAUGGAGCAACGCCGCGUGAGUGAAGAAGGUUUUCGGAUCGUAAAGCUCUGUUGUUGGUGAAGAAGGAUAGAGGCAGUAACUGGUCUUUAUUUGACGGUAAUCAACCAGAAAGUCACGGCUAACUACGUGCCAGCAGCCGCGGUAAUACGUUGGUGGCAAGCGUUGUCCGGAUUUAUUGGGCGUAAAGCGAGCGCAGGCGGAAUGAUAAGUCUGAUGUGAAAGCCCACGGCUCAACCGUGGAACUGCAUCGGAAACUGUCAUUCUUGAGUGCAGAAGAGGAGAGUGGAACUCCAUGUGUAGCGGUGGAAUGCGUAGAUAUAUGGAAGAACACCAGUGGCGAAGGCGGCUCUCUGGUCUGCAACUGACGCUGAGGCUCGAAAGCAUGGGUAGCGAACAGGAUUAGAUACCCUGGUAGUCCAUGCCGUAAACGAUGAGCGCUAGGUGUUGGGGACUUUCCGGUCCUCAGUGCCGCAGCAAACGCAUUAAGCGCUCCGCCUGGGGAGUACGACCGCAAGGUUGAAACUCAAAGGAAUU